AAGAGACAGCAGCAGCCGCGGGAAUACGUAGGGUGCGAGCGUUAAUCGGAAUUACUGGGCGUAAAGCGUGCGCAGGCGGUUGUGUAAGACAGGUGUAAAAUCCCCGGGCUUAACCUGGGAACUGCGCUCGUGACUGCACAGCUAGAGUAUGGCAGAGGGGGGUGGAAUUCCACGUGUAGCAGUGAAAUGCGUAGAUAUGUGGAGGAAUACCGAUGGCGAAGGCAGCCCCCUGGGAUAACACUGACGCUCAUGCACGAAAGCGUGGGGAGCAAACAGGAUUAGAUACCCCGGUAGUCCCUGUCUCUUAUAC
RNAcentral lists this ribosomal RNA (310 nucleotides) under uncultured bacterium. RNAcentral's name for it is "partial 16S ribosomal RNA". It matches the Rfam family "Bacterial small subunit ribosomal RNA", at positions 503 to 807 of the family's 1533-position model. The record is from RNAcentral.